GCCCCUUAUACGCUGGGCUACACACGUGCUACAAUGGGUAGAACAGAGAGUUGCAAAGCCGUGAGGUGAAGCUAAUCUCAGAAAACUAUUCUUAGUUCGGAUUGUACUCUGCAACUCGAGUACAUGAAGUUGGAAUCGCUAGUAAUCGCGAAUCAGCAAUGUCGCGGUGAAUACGUUCUCGGGCCUUGUACACACCGCCCGUCACACCACGAGAGUUGGUUGCACCUGAAGUAGCAGGCCUAACCGUAAGGAAGGAUGCUCCGAGGGUGUGAUUAGCGAUUGGGGUGAAGUCGUAACAAGGUAUCCGUACGGGAACGUGCGGAUGGAUCACCUCCUUUCUAAGGAGUAUAGGUCUUUCUCUAUUCUAUUGGUAAUGUUCUUUACAUUACUUCUGAACAUUGGAAACUAUAUAGUAGAACAAACAAGAAAAAAAAUUAACUCUAACAAUUUCUUAGAGUUAGCUGUCAAAAAAUAGAUUAAAAUAAUUAAGGGCACACAAAGGAUGCCUAGGUAGUAAGAGCCGAUGAAGGACGUGGUAAGCUGCGAUAAGCCUAG
RNAcentral lists this small RNA (555 nucleotides) under uncultured Fusobacterium sp. RNAcentral describes it as "bacterial SSU rRNA". The stretch from base 1 to 338 matches the Rfam family "Bacterial small subunit ribosomal RNA", at positions 1197 to 1533 of the family's 1533-position model. The record is from RNAcentral. Lineage: Bacteria; Fusobacteriati; Fusobacteriota; Fusobacteriia; Fusobacteriales; Fusobacteriaceae.